AUAAACGCUGGCGGCGCACAUAAGACCUGCAAGUUGAACGGACUUAAUCGAAAUAUUUAUAUUUUGAAGCGGUUAGUGGCGGACUGGUGAGUAACGCGUAAGGAACCUGCCUAUUAGAGGGGAAUAACAGUGAGAAAUCAUUGCUAAUACCGCAUAUGCCAUAGAUAUCACAUGAUAACAGUGGGAAAGGAGCAAUCCGCUAAUAGAUGGCCUUGCGUCUGAUUAGAUAGUUGGUGGGGUAACGGCCUACCAAGUCGACGAUCAGUAGCCGGACUGAGAGGUUGAACGGCCACAUUGGGACUGAGAUACGGCCCAGACUCCUACGGGAAGCAGCAGUCGGGAAUAUUGCGAAAUGGAGGAAACUCUGACGCAGUGACGCCGCGUAUAGGAAGAAGGUUUUCGGAUUGUAAACUAUUGUCGUUAGGGAAGAGAAAGGACAGUACCUAAGGAGGAAGCUCCGGCUAACUACGU
Molecule: ribosomal RNA, 471 nt
Filed under: uncultured bacterium
Lineage: Bacteria
Description: partial 16S ribosomal RNA
Rfam family: Bacterial small subunit ribosomal RNA
Source: RNAcentral